Molecule: transfer RNA, 69 nt
Filed under: Ictidomys tridecemlineatus (thirteen-lined ground squirrel)
Lineage: Eukaryota; Metazoa; Chordata; Mammalia; Rodentia; Sciuridae
Description: Spermophilus tridecemlineatus (thirteen-lined ground squirrel) tRNA
Rfam family: tRNA
About the family: Transfer RNA (tRNA) molecules are approximately 80 nucleotides in length. Their secondary structure includes four short double-helical elements and three loops (D, anti-codon, and T loops). Further hydrogen bonds mediate the characteristic L-shaped molecular structure. tRNAs have two regions of fundamental functional importance: the anti-codon, which is responsible for specific mRNA codon recognition, and the 3' end, to which the tRNAs corresponding amino acid is attached (by aminoacyl-tRNA synthetases). tRNAs cope with the degeneracy of the genetic code in two manners: having more than one tRNA (with a specific anti-codon) for a particular amino acid; and 'wobble' base-pairing, i.e. permitting non-standard base-pairing at the 3rd anti-codon position.
Source: Rfam by way of RNAcentral
GGAGUUUUGGCUCAGUGGUAGAGCGCUUGCCUAGCAUGCAUGAGGCCCUGGGUUUGAUUCUCAGCACCA